RNAcentral lists this ribosomal RNA (447 nucleotides) under uncultured bacterium. RNAcentral's name for it is "partial 16S ribosomal RNA". It matches the Rfam family "Bacterial small subunit ribosomal RNA", at positions 29 to 523 of the family's 1533-position model. The record is from RNAcentral.
AACGAACGCUGGCGGCAGGCUUAACACAUGCAAGUCGAACGCCCCGCAAGGGGAGUGGCAGACGGGUGAUUAACGCGUGGGAAGCGACCUAGUUCUACGGAACAACACAGGGAAACUUGUGCUAAUACCGUAUACGCCCUAAGGGGGAAAGAUUUAUCGGAAUUAGAUGAGCCAGCGUAAGAUUAGCUAGUUGGUGGGGUAAUGGCCUACCAAGGCGACGAUCUUUAGCUGGUCUGAGAGGAUGAUCAGCCACACUGGGACUGAGACACGGCCCAGACUCCUACGGGAGGCAGCAGUGGGGAAUAUUGGACAAUGGGCGAAAGCCUGAUCCAGCCAUGCCGCGUGAGUGAUGAAGGCCUUAGGGUUGUAAAGCUCUUUCAGUAGGGAAGAUAAUGACGGUACCUACAGAAGAAGCCCCGGCUAACUUCGUGCCAGCAGCCGCAGUAA